This is a long non-coding RNA of Myxocyprinus asiaticus (Chinese sucker), 5051 nucleotides long. RefSeq lists it as uncharacterized. NCBI's taxonomy places the organism in Eukaryota, Metazoa, Chordata, Actinopteri, Cypriniformes, Catostomidae. The transcript has 4 exons. The record is from RefSeq and is a predicted model, not a curated record.
AAAAAUUUGAAGAGAGAGAAGAAAAAAAAUGUAGGAAGAGAGAAAAAAAUUGAAGACUUAGGCUCAGAAGGAACUGAGACACUAUUCCCCCCCUUGCGGUUCAGAUCUUCCGUAUGAAAUGUACACCGUAGUACGCGUGGUAUAUCCGGAUUGGCUUAACUGCUUGGUUCGCACUAUUUGCACGGAUGCCUACACAAAAAUCUACAGGGCGUGGUGAUUUAGUCGUGCUUUGAUCGAAAGAAAGUACAGCCAUUGUGGCAGGUCUGCAUCAACGCAGAAGUUUUACAGGAGCUCACAGGACAUCGAAUACAAACAAUGUCAAACUGGCAAAACUUAAACGAAGUGGGUGAAGAUUGGUGGGAAGUGGCAUAUAAGUUAUUUCUUAUAAAUAAUCCAGUAGAAGUGAUUCUGAAUCAUGCUGCAUUUUAUAUGAGGGGCGAUAACUGGAAUGAUUAUGGAUUCAGCUGUGACACACACGUUCCUCCAACUGGGAAAUUCCAUGAUGUUUCUAGAAGGGCAAUUUUGGUGGUGAUUUCAAGAAAAAGGAGAAUGCAUUGGGGCAAUUGGAACAAGCUGGAUUCGGCACCUUCUGAACCUGUUCCUGAUCUACAGGAAACUGACAAGAAUGUUAUCAACUGUGUUAUUGACCUGAUAUAUAAGGAGGACGGCAGCCCUAGACCAUAUGAUAGAUAAGCUGAACAAUAUUGAUGAGUCUGAACCAGUGGCGCGAAAUCACGCUGUCUCCAUCACCUUUUCAACUAUGUUUUUUUUAUUUUAUUUACUCAGCACUCAGUAUUUCUGUCAAUAUGUCAGCGAUCAUUUCGUGUGUUCCGUACUUUCUGUCGGUUGUUUAAAAAAAAAAUACGCACCAAAAUUCAAACGAAGAUAUCAAGGGAAGAUCACUUUACCAUAGCGUAAGUAAAAUUUCACACAGACGUUAAUAUUCAGCUCUCAGUUAUAAUCUCUCAUUUAUAAUCCUACAUAGUCUCUAAAUGCUUAUAUAGCCUGCAGAAUUGCGCACAGGGGACACAUUGUAACGCUGUGUUAAAACUUUCCCCGCUAUUACAAGAAACUAUGCUAUUCCGUGCAGUUAGCCAUGCAAAUUCACACAAUUCCCUUUUAUGAUUUUAUUUACUGCAGCAUGAGAAACAGGCCAAGACAGACAGGUGUGUACCUGUGUGUGUGUGUCUGUGUGUGUUAUCUCUUUGUCUUCAUUAUGUUGUCUUUGGCUUUCGCUUUGUUCUGUGUUCAUUGUCAAGCAUUAAAAUUUGUUGUAUGUAAACUGACAUUAUUUCAUAUGACUUUAUGAUUUGAUAAGUUAAUAAAUGUUUUUACUGACAUAAUAUCAUAGUUUAUCUUGUAUGCUUUUUAAGUUAAAUCAGAUUUAAUUGUAGAGGGGGAUUUUAAGAUGUUUUAUGGUCAUGUUUCAAAGUGCCCCACCUAUACGUUCUAACAUUUCACUUCUCUUCUUUCCAGUUAAAUAAUUAAAAAAGUAUAUGUUUUAUUAAAAAAAAACAAGACCAAAUAUUUGUACCAGACAUGUGUAAAAUUCAUGUGAAAAAAUAAAAAUGCUUUGAACCCUAAGUACUUUUCCACAAACUUGAGAAAACAAAAAGUGUUAGGUUGUGCCCCGCUCUCCCCUAUACCUGCCAAGAGAGCAGCAACACUGCAAAGACUUGUUUGCCAUGUGCAGGCACCUGCACACAUAGACAUCAAAGAGGGCUUGAGCACCUGCCCUUUUUCUUCCUCGAGAGAAAGUGACCUUUUUUCUGGGGUGCUUUUUUUUUUUUUUAAUAAACAAAUAUAUAUAUUCCUUUUUGCGUACAACUUCCCUGUCAAACAAAUAUAUUUACUGAAUAAAAAUUAAAAUAUCAGGUCGAUAGAUGAGACUUUGUCGAGUUCCAAUGCCCGCCCUACCUCCCUCCCUCCGCCCGCUUCUCCAUGCAGCAGUGCAGCACACAUCGGCACGUCAGACACGCAGGCAGCAGCCCCUCCCAGCUCCUAUCCCAGUUGUGUUUAUCUUGGCUUGUGUGGAGGUGAGUGGUGAUGAACAAAAGACUAAGCUACCAGUGCCUCGACUUUACAGCUAAUUAGCCAAAAGACAAAUAUAGUUAACUUGUGUCUUGCUAACAUGCAUGACUCAUGAGCUACUAGCUAAUGUAUUAAGUUUGCUAAAGUUUAGCUAAGGCAAUAGACCCUUUUAGUGCCGAUGUCACAAUUACGUCACGGCAUUAGCUGGAGGCAAAACAAAGGGAAUACUGGAGGUGACCAAGACAAACCAGCACAGAGUCGGCUACAUAAGGAGCUUAAAAUGUCAUCUUGUUGUGUUGUUGGGUGCCAGAAUCGACAGAGUACAGGCUCCUAAUUGGAAUUUUAUUGCAUACCUGCUGCCACUGCCAGACAAAAAAAAAAAAAAAAAAAAAACGAUGACAGCUGUGGUUAAAAGCAAUAAAACGAGCGGACUGGACAGAAACGGUCAUCAAACAUGCUUGCGUUUGCAGCACGCACUUCAUAUCAAGUAAAGUUAAAUAAACUAUUGUCUUUUGUUGGUAUGGAUUAUGGUUUGGUUACGUGUCUAAAGAUUUCUCAUGCAUGCCCACCUAAUCAGAAAUCGAGGAACAAGUUAAGUGAUUUCUCACGUAACGCUAACUUUUUUUUAGUGCAUAAGUUAGCUAACUUUGUUAGUCGUACAACUAGCAGUUAGCUAACUGCUAGCUAAUGACCAGAGACUAAACAUAAAGGAAACUGUUUGUGUCAUCUCCCUUUCUACAGUUGCCAUAAGUGCAAUUGUAGAAAGGGAGAGGGAACAGUGAGAAGGCCCAUGUUAUGUGUCAGGUGUGCAUUCAAAUAACUGCAUUUGCUAACGUUUGCCACUGUUAGUAGCCAAUCAAAAGGAUAGCGAAGUAGUAAGCUAGGCUGACAUUAGCUUCAGUUACAUCUUAUUUUGUAGGAGAGGCUUCUAUGGAAGCGUCCCCUCUGUGUUUUCUUAUAAACGGCAUAGUGACAGGCCUGUGGAAAAGCCGGAGAGGUAGGUGAAAUUGAGUUUUCUAAAUGUGGCUACGUGAGUGUUACCAUAGGCUGUAAUUCAUGUGUGCAGUCUUCUUCACUAAAAUCUCUAUGUUUUGUCUCUGUUUUGUCCUGCUUUUCUAAGGCUGGAAAGGAACAGGGAAAGUCUGACAGUGGACCAAGAGGCUCCUUGCCAUGCUGAUGAUGAUCCAAUGACACCAGAGGAACCAGUGGAAGAAGCUGAGGCUAUGGUCCCUCAAGCAGCAUACAACAGUCUCAGUGAGAAGUGACCAACUCAACACGGAAUAUGUCAACUUGAGAAAUGACUUUUACCAACUCAAAGAGGAGAAUGAAAGACUGAAACAGGAGCUUCAGAAAUCACGCUUCUCAUUCUCCACGGUCAAAAACAAGGCUGCACACUUUCUGUUUCUCACUGGGCUAACUUCAGUCAUCUUCAGUUGGGUAAUGUCAAAAAUAAAAGACAGUGUGCAGAAGCAAACUGAAAGUCUCAUGCUGGAAGAUCAUUUAUUAGUGGUCCUUAUGAAACUGAGAUUGGGGCUCAGUAACAGAAAUAUAGCAUAUAGAUACAAAGUUUCUGAAAGCACAGUGUCAAACAUUCUAAGAUCCUGGUUGCCUGUAAUGGCAAACAUAUUAAAAUCUAUUAUUAAAUGGCCAAGUAACAGUGCUGUCCUUAAAAUAUGCCCAAAGGUUUCAGGCGACAUUUCAAGAGAUGCAGGUGUAUAAUUGACUGUACAGAGAAAUUCAUAGAGAGACCUACUAACUUGACUGCUAGAGCUCAAACCUGGUCCAACUACAAGCAUAACAACACUGUUAAGUACCUGGUGGGAAUAACACCUGUAGGGGCAGUUUCAUUUCUGUCCACAGGCUGGGAUGGGAGAGUGUCAGAUAAGCAAAUAACACAUGAAUCAGGAUUUUUGCACCUGUUAGAGCCAAAAGAUGAAAUCUUAGCAGACAGGGGAUUUUUGAUCAGGCAUGAACUUGCUGCUUAUGGUGCCACUUUGCAUAUGCCAAGUUUCACUAAAGGAAAGAGUCAGUUACCUGCUUGUGAAGUAGAUUCAUCCAGACAACUGUCUCAUGUGAGAAUACACGUAGAGAGAUUUAUAAGCAGAUGGAAGUUACAAAAUUUUGCAUUCUGUUAUUCCAAUUUCCCAAGUUAGCCUCUUGGAUGACAUGGUGAUUGUGUGUGGUGCUCUUACCAAUUUCUGUAAAUCUGUGGUGCCCAAAAAAGAAAGAGUAUGUCGUGUAUGAAAUAAUGUCUGUGUGCAUGUGUGUGUCUGUGUGUAAAACAAUGAACUGACAAUUUAUAUGCUUUUCACUUUGAGAAUUGAAUGUUUUUUUUUUUCUAAACUAUUGUGAUUGUAAUUGUGAAUCACCUGUGAUUGUAUAUACAUUGUUGUGAUUGAUUGUAACUAGAAUUUUAAAGAACCUAGUAAGAAAGAAUAAUCAAAUACAGAAAGUUAAAAAAUUAAUUUGCAGUGUCUGGAAUUUGUAUUUCUAGAAAAUAUUCACAUCUUUACAAUUGUAGUGUAAUGUAACUCUAAAUUUACAUCAUUUACAUGAGGCAUAUACUUUAAAAUAACUCUUUGGCCAUUACAUACAUACAUCUUCAAAUAAUACCUUAGCCAUCACAUUGAAUGUUGAACUUUUUUUGAAUUUUAGACCGGCUGUCCUUCCUCCACAUGUCCCCAUGGAAAGGUGAUGGGAUCGAUAUCCACAUGUGCGAUUAGUUUUCUACAUAAGGCUGUGAAAGAUAGAGAUAAUCCCUGCAUAAAUCACGCUGCUGCAAUGUGCGUUUCAUCAAGACACUCUGGCCAUCAAUCACUUGCAAGGGUGGUUACAUCCUGCCACCCUGUCAUCCAAUCAGAAUCCAGCUCUCUGUGACAGACAGGUUGGUCUGCCUGACGACCCAGCCCAAUGCUUCUGUUGGACCAAAGAGGCACAUUCAGAUGAAAUAUCCUACAGCGUGUUCUGUUUGAGGAGGAAUAAGAUAUUUCACAAUUGAGUCUUGAACCAGAGAAUGGCAG